Non-coding RNA from Struthio camelus australis, 2772 nucleotides. NCBI's taxonomy places the organism in Eukaryota, Metazoa, Chordata, Aves, Struthioniformes, Struthionidae. The record is from RefSeq and is a predicted model, not a curated record.
AUGCCUGAGGAGGUGCAGCAUGGGGAGGAGGAGGUGGAGACGUUCGCCUUCCAGGCGGAGAUCGCCCAGCUCAUGUCGCUCAUCAUCAACACCUUCUACUCCAACAAGGAGAUCUUCCUGCGGGAGCUCAUCUCCAACGCCUCCGACGCGCUGGAUAAGAUCCGUUACGAGAGCCUGACUGAUCCCUCCAAGUUGGACAGCGGCAAGGACCUCAAGAUCGACAUUGUGCCCAACCCGCGAGACCGCACGCUCACCCUGGUGGACACUGGUAUUGGGAUGACAAAAGCUGAUCUCAUCAACAACUUGGGCACUAUUGCUAAAUCUGGUACCAAGGCCUUCAUGGAAGCCCUGCAGGCAGGUGCAGAUAUCUCCAUGAUUGGGCAGUUUGGUGUGGGUUUCUACUCAGCCUACCUGGUGGCUGAGAAGGUUGUGGUUAUUACUAAGCAUAAUGAUGAUGAGCAGUAUGCUUGGGAGUCAUCUGCCGGGGGUUCCUUCACUGUUCGGACUGACCAUGGUGAGCCUAUUGGACGGGGCACUAAAGUGAUCCUGUAUCUGAAAGAGGACCAGACAGAGUACUUAGAGGAGCGGCGUGUCAAAGAGGUGGUGAAGAAACAUUCCCAGUUCAUUGGCUACCCUAUUACACUCUAUCUGGAGAAAGAGCGUGAGAAAGAGAUUAGUGAUGAUGAAGCAGAAGAGGAGAAAAGCGAGAAGGAGGAGGAGGAGUCAGCCUCCAAGGAUGAGGAGAAACCCGAGAUCGAGGAUGUGGGCUCUGAUGAGGAGGAAGAGGGAGAUAAAGGGAAGAAGAAGAAGACCAAGAAGAUUAAGGAGAAAUACAUUGACCAGGAGGAGCUGAACAAGACCAAGCCCAUCUGGACACGCAACCCUGAUGACAUCACCCAGGAGGAAUAUGGCGAGUUCUACAAAAGUCUCACCAAUGACUGGGAAGACCACCUGGCUGUCAAGCACUUCUCUGUAGAAGGGCAGCUGGAAUUCAGGGCCCUGCUCUUCAUCCCACGCCGUGCCCCCUUUGACCUCUUUGAGAACAAGAAGAAGAAGAACAAUAUCAAGCUAUAUGUGAGGCGCGUCUUCAUCAUGGACAGCUGUGAUGAGCUCAUCCCUGAGUACUUGAACUUUAUCCGGGGCGUGGUAGACUCUGAGGACUUGCCUCUCAACAUCUCCCGUGAGAUGCUCCAGCAGAGUAAGAUUCUCAAGGUGAUCCGCAAGAACAUUGUGAAGAAGUGCUUGGAGCUCUUCUCUGAACUGGCAGAGGACAAAGAGAACUACAAGAAAUUCUAUGAGGCCUUUUCCAAGAACCUUAAGCUGGGCAUCCAUGAGGACUCAACCAACCGAAGGCGCCUGUCAGAGCUGCUGCGUUACCACACGUCCCAGUCAGGCGAUGAGGUGACUUCGCUUUCAGAAUAUGUUUCCCGUAUGAAGGAGACGCAAAAGAGUAUUUACUACAUCACAGGGGAGAGUAAGGAGCAGGUGGCCAACUCAGCCUUUGUGGAGCGUGUGCGGAAGCGUGGCUUUGAGGUGGUGUACAUGACAGAGCCAAUCGAUGAGUACUGCGUGCAGCAGCUCAAGGAGUUUGAUGGCAAGAGCCUGGUGUCAGUCACCAAGGAGGGGCUGGAGCUGCCUGAGGAUGAGGAGGAGAAGAAGAAGAUGGAGGAGAGCAAGGCCAAGUUUGAGACGCUUUGCAAGCUCAUGAAGGAGAUUCUGGACAAGAAGGUGGAGAAGAGGAGCCGCUAAAGGAGACUGGAGGUCCCAGCAUGCACUGCACCAUCUUGCUCUAAGCAGCCAGGCUGCAGAUGAAGGGCAGUGACCCAAAUACGUGCAUUGAUGGGAGAGGGUAACUAUCUCAAACCGAUUGGUCUCAUCUCCCUGCUGCAUCGUCACCAGCACCUACGGCUGGACGGCCAACAUGGAGCGUAUCAUGAAAGCCCAGGCACUGCGGGACAACUCCACCAUGGGCUACAUGAUGGCCAAGAAGCACCUGGAGAUCAACCCGGACCACCCAAUUGUGGAAACCCUCCGCCAGAAGGCUGAUGCUGACAAGAAUGAUAAAGCCGUCAAAGACCUGGUGGUACUGCUCUUUGAGACAGCUCUGCUGUCCUCUGGCUUCUCCCUGGAAGAUCCCCAAACCCACUCCAACCGCAUCUACAGGAUGAUCAAACUGGGGCUUGGUAUUGAUGAAGAUGAGGUGACUGCAGAGGAGCCCACCGCAGCUGUCCAGGAUGAAAUCCCCCCUCUAGAAGGAGAGGAAGACGCAUCCCGCAUGGAGGAGGUGGACUAAAGUAGGAGGAGGGCUUUUCUCUCUCCGGUCAGGCCUCUUCCCCAUCUCAUCUUUGCUCAGAAGGGGGUCUGGUCCCACCAGCUGCUAAUGACUACUUGGUGGUGUCUCAUUUUUUUUGGAUUUGUGAUUUUUUGGUUUUUUUUUUUUAGGGGGGAGGGGUUCUCUAUUUGUCAGUAGCGAGUGAGGUGGGUAGCCUCAGGCCUUUGUGGUACAUGUCUUUCUGCUUGUGUAGGAACAGCUGAUGGGGAAGGGAGACAGAAGGGGUUAGGCUUCCCCUCUCUCCCAGGGGUCUGCCAUGUUUACCACUAGGCAUCAAACACUCACUUCAGUUUAUUGAGUUGGGGAGAGCCCUUCCUCUGAGCUGCUGACUCCCUGCACUCCCAGGGUAGGAUGUUGCAUUUUGGUUGGUUUGGUUCUUUUUUUUUUUGAUGGUGGUUGUUUUGUUCUGCUGGAAUUAAAGUAUCAAAGAAUGUGGUUUA